GCUUGCUACCUGACCUAGCGGCGGACGGGUGAGUAAUGCUUAGGAAUCUGCCUAUUAGUGGGGGACAACAUUCCGAAAGGAAUGCUAAUACCGCAUACGCCCUACGGGGGAAAGCAGGGGAUCUUCGGACCUUGCGCUAAUAGAUGAGCCUAAGUCAGAUUAGCUAGUUGGUGGGGUAAAGGCCUACCAAGGCGACGAUCUGUAGCGGGUCUGAGAGGAUGAUCCGCCACACUGGGACUGAGACACGGCCCAGACUCCUACGGGAGGCAGCAGUGGGGAAUAUUGGACAAUGGGCGAAAGCCUGAUCCAGCCAUGCCGCGUGUGUGAAGAAGGCCUUUUGGUUGUAAAGCACUUUAAGCGAGGAGGAGGCUACUUGGAUUAAUACUCUAGGAUAGUGGACGUUACUCGCAGAAUAAGCACCGGCUAACUCUGUGCCAGCAGCCGCGGUAAUACAGAGGGUGCGAGCGUUAAUCGGAUUUACUGGGCGUAAAGCGUGCGUAGGCGGCUUUUUAAGUCGGAUGUGAAAUCCCUGAGCUUAACUUAGGAAUUGCAUUCGAUACUGGGAAGCUAGAGUAUGGGAGAGGAUGGUAGAAUUCCAGGUGUAGCGGUGAAAUGCGUAGAGAUCUGGAGGAAUACCGAUGGCGAAGGCAGCCAUCUGGCCUAAUACUGACGCUGAGGUACGAAAGCAUGGGGAGCAAACAGGAUUAGAUACCCUGGUAGUCCAUGCCGUAAACGAUGUCUACUAGCCGUUGGGGCCUUUGAGGCUUUAGUGGCGCAGCUAACGCGAUAAGUAGACCGCCUGGGGAGUACGGUCGCAAGACUAAAACUCAAAUGAAUUGACGGGGGCCCGCACAAGCGGUGGAGCAUGUGGUUUAAUUCGAUGCAACGCGAAGAACCUUACCUGGUCUUGACAUAGUAAGAACUUUCCAGAGAUGGAUUGGUGCCUUCGGGAACUUACAUACAGGUGCUGCAUGGCUGUCGUCAGCUCGUGUCGUGAGAUGUUGGGUUAAGUCCCGCAACGAGCGCAACCCUUUUCCUUAUUUGCCAGCGGGUUAAGCCGGGAACUUUAAGGAUACUGCCAGUGACAAACUGGAGGAAGGCGGGGACGACGUCAAGUCAUCAUGGCCCUUACGACCAGGGCUACACACGUGCUACAAUGGUCGGUACAAAGGGUUGCUACCUAGCGAUAGGAUGCUAAUCUCAAAAAGCCGAUCGUAGUCCGGAUUGGAGUCUGCAACUCGACUCCAUGAAGUC
RNAcentral lists this ribosomal RNA (1254 nucleotides) under uncultured Acinetobacter sp. RNAcentral's name for it is "bacterial SSU rRNA". It matches the Rfam family "Bacterial small subunit ribosomal RNA", at positions 78 to 1327 of the family's 1533-position model. Lineage: Bacteria; Pseudomonadati; Pseudomonadota; Gammaproteobacteria; Moraxellales; Moraxellaceae. The record is from RNAcentral.